CCACGGCCGGCUGGGGUUCCUGGGGAUGGGAUUUGCUUCCUGUCACAAAUCACAUUGCCAGGGAUUUCCAACCGACCCUGA
This 81-nucleotide microRNA precursor is filed under the name Homo sapiens (human). Its description in RNAcentral is "microRNA miR-23-precursor-19". It matches the Rfam family "mir-23 microRNA precursor family". The record is from RNAcentral. Lineage: Eukaryota; Metazoa; Chordata; Mammalia; Primates; Hominidae.